GACGAACGCUGGCGGCGUGCUUAACACAUGCAAGUCGAACGGAAAGGCCCUGCUUUUGUGGGGUGCUCGAGUGGCGAACGGGUGAGUAACACGUGAGUAACCUGCCCUUGACUUUGGGAUAACUUCAGGAAACUGGGGCUAAUACCGGAUAGGAGCUCCUGCUGCAUGGUGGGGGUUGGAAAGUUUCGGCGGUUGGGGAUGGACUCGCGGCUUAUCAGCUUGUUGGUGGGGUAGUGGCUGACCAAGGCUUUGACGGGUAGCCGGCCUGAGAGGGUGACCGGCCACAUUGGGACUGAGCUACGGCCCAGACUCCUACGGGAGGCAGCAGUGGGGAAUAUUGCACAAUGGGCGGAAGCCUGAUGCAGCCACGCCGCGUGCGGGAUGACGGCCUUCGGGUUGUAAACCGCUUUCGCCUGUGACGAAGCGUGAGUGACGGUAAUGGGUAAAGAAGCACCGGCUAACUACGUG
This 468-nucleotide ribosomal RNA is filed under the name uncultured bacterium. Its description in RNAcentral is "partial 16S ribosomal RNA". It matches the Rfam family "Bacterial small subunit ribosomal RNA", at positions 28 to 507 of the family's 1533-position model. The record is from RNAcentral.